GCCGUUGUGGGCCAUGGUGGCCACCCUCCCAAAUUGGCAGCUGUGACAGAUGAUUUGAAGAGGGAAGCGGGGGUUCGAAUCCUCCCGAUGGUA
Non-coding RNA from Mycena leptocephala, 93 nucleotides. The record is from the annotation of a GenBank genome assembly. Lineage: Eukaryota; Fungi; Basidiomycota; Agaricomycetes; Agaricales; Mycenaceae.